GGCUAGGUGGCUGAGUGGUAAAGUAGGUACGUUAACUGAUCGUUCCCAAAAACUACUGUACCUUAUGUGGGUUCGAUUCCCACCCUGGGCG
This is a non-coding RNA of Mycena crocata, 91 nucleotides long. NCBI's taxonomy places the organism in Eukaryota, Fungi, Basidiomycota, Agaricomycetes, Agaricales, Mycenaceae. The record is from the annotation of a GenBank genome assembly.